UUUCAUAACUGUAAAGUAAAAAGUCAGCUGAUUAAAAUGUAUCAUAGCUGAAUUACUGAAAAUAUGUGAUCUAAUUAUAAAAUAUACAGGUUAGGUCUGCCUGAAAUACUUGCCCCUCUUUUUACGACCAUGUGGAAAUCCGAGCAGUGGAUCAAAUGUUGGAGUUCCAUCAGUUUCUGGAUAUGGACCUGGAUGAGCCCAGGUGUAUAUUGUAUUACCCAUUUCUACUCCAGUGAUUUGAAAAAUCAAGAAAUAAUGUACAGCUAAAAA
This is a long non-coding RNA of Osmia bicornis bicornis, 270 nucleotides long. RefSeq lists it as uncharacterized. NCBI's taxonomy places the organism in Eukaryota, Metazoa, Arthropoda, Insecta, Hymenoptera, Megachilidae. The record is from RefSeq and is a predicted model, not a curated record. The transcript is spliced from 2 exons.